This 1611-nucleotide ribosomal RNA is filed under the name Triticum aestivum (bread wheat). RNAcentral's name for it is "partial small subunit ribosomal RNA". The record is from RNAcentral. Lineage: Eukaryota; Viridiplantae; Streptophyta; Magnoliopsida; Poales; Poaceae.
AUGAAGGUCUACGAUUUCUACGUCAAGGAGAACAACUACACAAGGAUCUGCGAGCAGAAAAGCAUGCUCACCGUGAACGGCCAGUUCCCCGGCCCGACCAUCACCGCGCAAAAGGGGGAGGUCUUCAUUGUCAACGUCUACAACCAGGGCAAUAAACCCAUCACCAUCCACUGGCAUGGAGUGGACCAGCCACGAAACCCCUGGCACGACGGCCCAGAGUUCAUAACGCAGUGUCCCAUCAACCCUGGUGCCAACUUCACCUACACCGUUGUCCUAUCGGAGGAGGAGGGCACACUCUGGUGGCAUGCGCACACUGAGUUUGAUCGUGCUAGUGUCCAUGGCGCCAUUAUCAUCCACCCCAAGCACGGCACUGACUAUCCCUUCAAGAAGCCGCACAAGGACAUACCCAUCAUCCUCGGUGAGUGGUGGAAGGCCAACGUGAGUCAUAUUUUGGAGGAGGCCCUACGUACCGGCAGUGGCAUUAAUAUCUCGGAUGCGACAACUAUUAACGGCCAACCUGGAGACCUAUUCCCGUGCUCCGAGGAGAACACUUUCAAAGUGUCCGUGAAGAGCGGCAAGACGUACCUGCUACGAAUCAUCAACGCCGGACUCACCAACGAUCUUUUCUUCGGCGUCGCCGAGCACCUUCUCACUAUUGUCGGCACCGAGGGACGCUACUUAAAGCCAUUCACUGUCGAGAACAUCAUGAUUUCGCCUGGACAGACAAUGGAUGCACUCCUCCAGGCUGACCGUUCAUCCAAUAGCAGCUACUACAUGGCGUCGAGGACAUUCGCAUCAAGAACCAACUUGGUGUACAACAACAGCACUGCCACGGCCAUCCUUGAAUACAUGGACGCGCCGCCCAUUGCACGAUCGGAACCAUACUUCCCCAACCUUCCAGCAAGCGACAACAUAACUGCGGCAACAGAGUACACAUCCCAGCUUCGGUCCCUAGCCAGCAAGGACCACCCGGUGGAUGUGCCGACACAUGUCGACGAGCACAUGCUCAUCACCUUAGCCACAAACAUUCUCCCAUGUCAAUCAUGUGAAAAUGGCAACCGCCUCGCGGCAAGCCUCAACAAUGUCAGUUUUGACAACCCCCAAACCGAUAUCCUCGACGCGUACUAUUACUCCAUCACAGGUGUCUUCGAGAAAGACUUCCCCAAAAAACCACCAUUCUUCUUCAACUUCACCAACGACAGCUAUUCCAAGGAGUUCAGGCUCACAAAGGCCGGUACCAAGGUGAAAGUACUAAAUUAUAGUUCCGUCGUGGAGGUGGUGUUCCAGGACACGGCCAUGAGCAACGAGACCCACCCCAUGCACCUGCACGGCUUCGCCUUUUAUGUUGUAGGGAUGGGCGUUGGGAACUUUGACAAGACCAAGGACCCAUCCAAGUACAACUUGGUCGACCCACCAUACCAGAAUACGGUCACGGUGCCUAAGCUUGGGUGGACCGCGAUGCGCUUCCGUGCUACAAACCCUGGUGUGUGGUUCAUGCAUUGCCACUUCGACCGCCAUACAGUGUGGGGGAUGAGCACUAUGUUCAUCGUGAAGGAAGGCAACACUCCUGAAUCUAGAAUGAGGCCUCGUCCUAGUAACAUGCCUAAGUGC